RNAcentral lists this ribosomal RNA (779 nucleotides) under Vibrio splendidus. Its description in RNAcentral is "bacterial SSU rRNA". It matches the Rfam family "Bacterial small subunit ribosomal RNA", at positions 301 to 1072 of the family's 1533-position model. Lineage: Bacteria; Pseudomonadati; Pseudomonadota; Gammaproteobacteria; Vibrionales; Vibrionaceae. The record is from RNAcentral.
UGAUCAGCCACACUGGAACUGAGACACGGUCCAGACUCCUACGGGAGGCAGCAGUGGGGAAUAUUGCACAAUGGGCGAAAGCCUGAUGCAGCCAUGCCGCGUGUAUGAAGAAGGCCUUCGGGUUGUAAAGUACUUUCAGUUGUGAGGAAGGGGGUAACGUUAAUAGCGUUAUCUCUUGACGUUAGCAACAGAAGAAGCACCGGCUAACUCCGUGCCAGCAGCCGCGGUAAUACGGAGGGUGCGAGCGUUAAUCGGAAUUACUGGGCGUAAAGCGCAUGCAGGUGGUUCAUUAAGUCAGAUGUGAAAGCCCGGGGCUCAACCUCGGAACUGCAUUUGAAACUGGUGAACUAGAGUGCUGUAGAGGGGGGUAGAAUUUCAGGUGUAGCGGUGAAAUGCGUAGAGAUCUGAAGGAAUACCAGUGGCGAAGGCGGCCCCCUGGACAGACACUGACACUCAGAUGCGAAAGCGUGGGGAGCAAACAGGAUUAGAUACCCUGGUAGUCCACGCCGUAAACGAUGUCUACUUGGAGGUUGUGGCCUUGAGCCGUGGCUUUCGGAGCUAACGCGUUAAGUAGACCGCCUGGGGAGUACGGUCGCAAGAUUAAAACUCAAAUGAAUUGACGGGGGCCCGCACAAGCGGUGGAGCAUGUGGUUUAAUUCGAUGCAACGCGAAGAACCUUACCUACUCUUGACAUCCAGAGAAGCCAGCGGAGACGCAGGUGUGCCUUCGGGAACUCUGAGACAGGUGCUGCAUGGCUGUCGUCAGCUCGUGUUGUGAAA